RNAcentral lists this ribosomal RNA (451 nucleotides) under uncultured bacterium. RNAcentral's name for it is "bacterial SSU rRNA". It matches the Rfam family "Bacterial small subunit ribosomal RNA", at positions 29 to 524 of the family's 1533-position model. The record is from RNAcentral.
AGCGAACGCUGGCGGCAGGCUUAACACAUGCAAGUCGAGCGCCUGUAGCAAUACAGGAGCGGCAGACGGGAGAGUAACACGUGGGAACGUACCCUUUGGUUCGGAACAACCCAGGGAAACUUGGACUAAUACCGGAUAAGCCCUAACGGGGAAAGAUUUAUCGCCAAAGGAUCGGCCCGCGUCUGAUUAGCUUGUUGGUGAGGUAACGGCUCACCAAGGCGACGAUCAGUAGCUGGUCGAGAGGAUGAUCAGCCACAUUGGGACUGAGACACGGCCCAAACUCCUACGGGAGGCAGCAGUGGGGAAUAUUGGACAAUGGGCGCAAGCCUGAUCCAGCCAUGCCGCGUGAGUGAUGAAGGCCCUAGGGUUGUAAAGCUCUUUUACCCGGGAAGAUAAUGACUGUACCGGGAGAAUAAGCCCCGGCUAACUUCGUGCCAGCCGCCGCGGUAAU